RNAcentral lists this ribosomal RNA (193 nucleotides) under uncultured Staphylococcus sp. RNAcentral's name for it is "partial 16S ribosomal RNA". It matches the Rfam family "Bacterial small subunit ribosomal RNA", at positions 339 to 524 of the family's 1533-position model. Lineage: Bacteria; Bacillati; Bacillota; Bacilli; Caryophanales; Staphylococcaceae. The record is from RNAcentral.
UUACGGGAGGCAGCAGUAGGGAAUCUUCCGCAAUGGGCGAAAGCCUGACGGAGCAACGCCGCGUGAGUGAUGAAGGUCUUCGGAUUGUAAAACUCUGUUAUUAGGGAAGAACAAAUGUGUAAGUAACUAUGCACGUCUUGACGGUACCUAAUCAGAAAGCCACGGCUAACUACGUGCCAGCAGCCGCGGUAAU